AUCUGAAGAAGGUGCUUGACAAAAGUGUGCAUAAAGUUGAUCUGAAACCUCAUGGAUCAGUGGAAGUGACCGUGAAACUCCCAGAAGACCCUGCGAUCAAGAAGACCAAACCACCAGUGCUUCCAAAACCCACCCCCGAGAGAUGCCUGCCCCUCAGAUCACUGCCCGCUCCAGCCAGACAGGUCAUUUCAGAUCAUUAACCACUAGCAUUGAUAUUAGACUACACGUUUCCUGAUUCUCGUCUCUUUUGAAAGAACGUGGAAGCAAUUGGACAUAUUUGCCAGUUGCAUAAACAUAGAAACUAUGUUAAGACUGUGUCUUAAGAACUAGUUAACCAAGUGUUAAUCAAUCUUACUUUUCAGAUUCAGGAGAUACUUUUUAUGUAACUGACUUUACAAUGAGCAAUCUUUUGAACUCUCAAACAAUUCGAUGAUCUUUUAAGACUAAUCUGCGCAGUUUAUGCAACCAGCACCUGAUCUUGAGUGAUAUUUGUUAUUUUCUGUUUUACUCACACACUUCCUCCUCGUCACACAAAGGUGUCUCCCGUCAGAAAGCCUGCAACAGCAAUUACAGCUCAUAAAGGUUGGGCUGUAAUGCUUUUCACUCCUAGUGUUUAAAACAACAAUCACUGAUUUCAAAACUUUUACAACGACACUUUGGACAUGUGUACAUAUUUGUUCAUUACACAGAAGAUGAGGAGGAUUCAGAAAUACCAGAUCUUCUCAUUAACACCUCUGGUUCAGUUGAGAAGGAAACCCUUCAGAUGUAUUUUGAGCAGUUCACAGAGCAGUUUGAGCUAGCUAAGCACGGGAAUAACAGCUGGAUCCUGAAGCUCUGGAGCCAGUCAGAUUUAGAGGAGAUUUUGGGCCAGAAAGAGCACGGGUUUGGUAUAACGUUAGCAGUGUAUAAAGGAGGAGGUCUGGGAGAGCAGCUGGACCCGCGCCGCUUCAUCUUGACUGGCUUUGAUGGAGCCACAGACUGCAGGAUGAUCUCAGUGUUCAUCGGCAGCUGUAGCAAGACCACAGAGCACACCUGGGAGACGCUUGAUGCGGACAGGAUCGUUGUCACCUUCAAACACGAUAUCGAUGUGACGUCAUUUCUACGGAAAUGCACCUCGAGGCAGCUGCAGGGUCGAGACAUCGGAGUGACCCGUGUGGAGCGGACGGACUCGGUUCUGGUCCAGGGAGACUUGGAGAAGCUCACUGAAGAUGUUCUCACACUUUACUUCAGCAACAAGAAGAGGAGCGGAGGAGGAGACGUCCAGUCCUUCAUCUGGAUCAACAGACGAAAGAGUGCGGCCAUCACCUUCGGAAACUGUGACGAUGCGCAUGCAGUGGUGGAACAAACACACAAUGUUUGCGGCACAGAAGUUCACGCUUCACUGUUCUACUCAAGUUUACAAAAGGCUUUAACUGGAGAAAAACCAACCCUGAC
This 1434-nucleotide long non-coding RNA is filed under the name Sinocyclocheilus grahami. RNAcentral describes it as "lncRNA (ENSSGRG00000011248.1)". Lineage: Eukaryota; Metazoa; Chordata; Actinopteri; Cypriniformes; Cyprinidae. The record is from RNAcentral.